UACGUAGGGUGCAAGCGUUAAUCGGAAUUACUGGGCGUAAAGCGCGCGCAGGCGGUUAUGUAAGACAGGAGUGAAAUCCCAGGGCUUAACCUUGGAACUGCAUUUGAGACUGCAUAGCUAGAGUACGGUAGAGGGGGAUGGAAUUCCGCGUGUAGCAGUGAAAUGCGUAGAUAUGCGGAGGAACACCGAUGGCGAAGGCAAUCCCCUGGACCUGUACUGACGCUCAUGCACGAAAGCGUGGGGAGCGAACAGG
Molecule: ribosomal RNA, 253 nt
Filed under: uncultured bacterium
Lineage: Bacteria
Description: partial 16S ribosomal RNA
Rfam family: Bacterial small subunit ribosomal RNA
Source: RNAcentral